This 253-nucleotide ribosomal RNA is filed under the name uncultured bacterium. RNAcentral describes it as "partial 16S ribosomal RNA". It matches the Rfam family "Bacterial small subunit ribosomal RNA", at positions 524 to 776 of the family's 1533-position model. The record is from RNAcentral.
UACGUAGGGUGCAAGCGUUAAUCGGAAUUACUGGGCGUAAAGCGUGCGCAGGCGGUUGGAUAAGCCAGAUGUGAAAUCCCCGAGCUCAACUUGGGAACUGCGUUUGGAACUGUCCGGCUAGAGUGCGUCAGAGGGGGGUGGAAUUCCGCGUGUAGCAGUGAAAUGCGUAGAGAUGCGGAGGAACACCGAUGGCGAAGGCAGCCCCCUGGGAUGACACUGACGCUCAUGCACGAAAGCGUGGGGAGCAAACAGG